CCACGGGGGGCUGCAGUGGGGAAUCAUGGUCAAUGGGCGAAAGCCUGAACCUGCGACGCCGCGUGAGUGAUGAAGGUCGUAAGAUCGUAAAACUCUUUUCAGGGAUCUUAAAGCCUGUCUGUCAACAACAGGCCGGUCUGACUCUCCCUGGAAGAAGCCCCAGCCAACUACGUGCCAGCAGCUGCGGUAAUACGUAGGGGGCGAGCGUUCUUCGGACUUACUGGGUGUCAAGGGUCUGUCGGCGGCCCUUCAAGUCGCGUGUCAAAGUCCAGUGCUCAACGCUGGGU
Molecule: ribosomal RNA, 287 nt
Filed under: uncultured prokaryote
Description: partial 16S ribosomal RNA
Rfam family: Bacterial small subunit ribosomal RNA
Source: RNAcentral